UACGUAGGGGGCGAGCGUUAUCCGGAUUCACUGGGCGUAAAGGGGGCGCAGACGGCGAUGCAAGCCAGGAGUGAAAGCCCGGGGCCCAACCCCGGGACUGCUCUUGGAACUGCGUGGCUGGAGUGCAGGAGGGGCAGGCGGAAUUCCUGGUGUAGCGGUGAAAUGCGUAGAUAUCAGGAGGAACACCGGUGGCGAAGGCGGCCUGCUGGACUGCAACUGACGUUGAGGCCCGAAAGCGUGGGGAGCAAACAGG
This 253-nucleotide ribosomal RNA is filed under the name uncultured bacterium. Its description in RNAcentral is "partial 16S ribosomal RNA". It matches the Rfam family "Bacterial small subunit ribosomal RNA", at positions 524 to 776 of the family's 1533-position model. The record is from RNAcentral.